AAAAUAUUGCCUGAUAUUAAGAUUUAUUACAAAAUUACAUUAAGCAAUAAAGCAUGGCAUUGGCAUGUGCCUGGGUGCUGUCACUUCAGUUGUAUCGGACUCUGCGAUCCCAUGGACCCACCAGGCUCCUCUGUCCAUGGGGAUUCUCCAGGCAAGAAUACUCCAGGAGGUUGCCAUGCCCUCCUCCAGGGUAUCUUCCGGACGCAAGGAUCAAACCAGCGUCUCUUAGGUCGCCUGCAUUGGCAGGCGGGUUCUCUACCGCUAGCGCCACUCGAGAAGCGCCGCCUGAAAAAAAAAACUCCCUACGGCCGCGGCAGUGGUGACCACGCGAGGGGCGGCGUCCCAGCCCCCGGGGGCGGUGCAGUCCGGGGGAGACUGGAGGGCGAGCCCGACCUCCCAGACCCCAAGGUAGACGGGCGACGCCCCUCGCCCCCACCCAGGGCUCUUGAAACCUCCGCGCCGGGACGCGCUAGGUACCUGGAAAGGGGCAGGCGGAGGAGGCGGGGGCGUGGUGCCCCACGGGCCCGCGGCCCAGACCCUGACCACCGCGGCCGCCCGCGGGCCUCGGCGCUACCAGCCCGUGACGCGGGGCCUGCCCGGCGCUGGCCAACAGCCACCUGGAGUCCCUACAGCCGCCGCCACCACCCCCGACGACCUCCCCGCCCCCUGUUUCCCCCGAAAAGGAGCAGAACCCCCCUUGCGCCCAGACGGCACCCUCCUCUUCCCCCACAGCCGUGGCCCUUCCCCGCACCCACGUCCCAGGCACCCUUCCCCCGCCACCGAGGGCAGAAGAACGCUCCGACGGGAAGCGUGGCGCAGUCGAGUAGGGCACAACAGAGGAAAGGCGCGAGAGAGCCGGCCGGCCGGCCGGUCGGAGGGCGGGGAGAGGCGCCUGGCGACCUGGCGGAGAGCAGAGCAAAGGACAAGCGACCACCGGCUGGGAAGACUGGUCCAGGGCCGGCGGCGACCGGCAGCCGAGCGGCCCCGCCCCACAGCCCGCGAGACGCACCGGAGGCUCCGGACUGUGCCGUCGCGACCUGGGGCAGUCGUGGCCAAAGACCACUGGACCCGACCGCCGGCCGCCGGGCAGACCCUGUCCCUGCGCGGAGUGACGGGCCACCGGAUGUCUCCCUCCCUCCGUCCCAUCCCGCUCCGCCCUGGUGGAGGAAGCUCGCGAGCCGGCGGGCGAGGCCACCGCGCUGUUACCUAACAAAUUGGCAUCGAGAUAGACAAAUCCUCCAAUGGAAGAAAAUAUAGAGUCCAGAAAAGAAAGUAGAAAAUACUUGAAUCUAUACCUCAUACCAUAUACAAAAUUUAAUUCAAAAUGAAACACUGACCUAAAUGUAAAUCUUGAAACUAUGAAACUUCGAAAACUAAGCAUGAAAGAGAAAUUUGCGGGGGGGGGGGGGGGGUGUCCUAGGCCAGACUACCGGCUCCCCCGGUGGCACUAGUGGUAAAGAACAGGCCUUCCAAUACAGGAGACAUAAGAGACGCAGGUUUAAUCCCUGGGUUGGGAAGAUCCCCUGGAGAAGGGCAUGGCAACUCACUCCAGUAUUCUUGCCUGGAGAAUCCUAUGGACAGAGGAGUCUGGUGGGCUACUGUCCACAGGGUCGCAAAGAGUCGAACACAACUGAAGCGACUUAGCGCACACGGCAGGCCAGACAACAAUUUGUUAGAUAUAAUACCAAAACACCAAAUCCGUUUUUAAAAAAUGGAUAGGGUUGGCUUCAAUAAGAACAAAACUUCUAUCCAAAAUAUUGUUAAGAGAAUGAAAGGAUAAGAGAAAAUAUGAGAAAAUCAUGUAUUCAAUGGAGGUCUUGUAUCCAGUGUAUAUAGAAAACUCAAAACUCAAUAAUAAGAAAACAAUGCAAUAAAAAGUUUUAAAAAAAAUUUAACAGACGUAUCAGCAAAUAAUUUAUGUGAAUGGACAAUAAGCACAUGAAAAGAUUCUCAACAUAAUAACUUGGAAUAGGCAGAUAAAAACACAAUGAUGUGCCAUUCCAUACUUGCUAAAUGACUGAAAUUAAUACAGUGACCAAACUAAGUGUUGGUGAGUAUACUCUAAUAUUUCAACUCUUCCAUUCCCACUACUGCUUUAGUUCAGAUUCUUAUGAACUAUUAUACUGUAUCCCUUUACUGUUUAAAUAUUUCCUCGAAAACUCCCCAUUUUUACUCCUGUCAACCUCCAGAUGUUCUCCAUACUGUAAAUAGCAUGUUAUGGUCUAAAUGUCUGCAUCCUCCCAAAAUUCACAGGUUGAAAUUUUGAUGCCUAAUGUGAUGGUAUUAGUAGGUGAGGCCUUUUGGAGGUGAUGACUCUAUGAGAGUAGAGCCCUCAUGAAUGAAAUUAAUGAUUCUAUAAAAGAGACCUAAGAGAGCCUCCUUGCCCUUUUUCAGCUUGUGAGGAUAUGAGAAGUCUGUAACUUAGAAAAGGGCAUUCUGUUGAAACCUGAUCUCAGACUUCUAGCUUCCAGAAAAACUUUGAGAGAUGAAUUUCUGUUGUUUAUAAGCCAUCCAGUCUGUGGUAUUUUAUUAUAGCAGACAGAACAGACUAAGAUAGAAAAUUGGUACUGGAAGUGCAAUUGCUGCUGUAACAAAAAAAAAAAAAAAAAAAUGAGGC
Molecule: long non-coding RNA, 2617 nt
Organism: Capra hircus (goat)
Lineage: Eukaryota; Metazoa; Chordata; Mammalia; Artiodactyla; Bovidae
Source: Ensembl